UGGGGAAUAUUGGACAAUGGGCGAAAGCCUGAUCCAGCCAUGCCGCGUGUGUGAAGAAGGUCUUCGGAUUGUAAAGCACUUUAAGUUGGGAGGAAGGGCAUUAACCUAAUACGUUAGUGUUUUGACGUUACCGACAGAAUAAGCACCGGCUAACUCUGUGCCAGCCGCCGCGGUAAUACAGAGGGUGCAAGCGUUAAUCGGAAUUACUGGGCGUAAAGCGCGCGUAGGUGGUUUGUUAAGUUGGAUGUGAAAUCCCCGGGCUCAACCUGGGAACUGCAUUCAAAACUGACUGACUAGAGUAUGGUAGAGGGUGGUGGAAUUUCCUGUGUAGCGGUGAAAUGCGUAGAUAUAGGAAGGAACACCAGUGGCGAAGGCGACCACCUGGACUAAUACUGACACUGAGGUGCGAAAGCGUGGGGAGCAAACA
Molecule: ribosomal RNA, 427 nt
Filed under: uncultured bacterium
Lineage: Bacteria
Description: partial 16S ribosomal RNA
Rfam family: Bacterial small subunit ribosomal RNA
Source: RNAcentral